UAGCAUAUUAAUAAGCGGAGGAAAAGAAACUAACAAGGAUUCCCCUAGUAACUGCGAGUGAAGCGGGAAAAGCUCAAAUUUAAAAUCUGGCGGUCUUCGGCCGUCCGAGUUGUAAUCUAGAGAAGUAAUACCCGCGCUGGACCGUGUACAAGUCUCCUGGAACGGGGCGUCAUAGAGGGUGANAAUCCCGUCUCUGACAUGGACUACCAGUGUGUUGUGGUAUGCUCUCAAAGAGUCGAGUUGUUUGGGAAUGCAGCUCAAAAUGGGUGGUAAAUUCCAUCUAAAGCUAAAUAUUGGCGAGAGACCGAUAGCGAACAAGUACCGUGAGGGAAAGAUGAAAAGAACUUUGGAAAGAGAGUUAAACAGUACGUGAAAUUGCUGAAAGGGAAACGCUUGAAGUCAGUCGCGUUGGCCAGGGAUCAGCCUCGCUCUUGCGUGGUGUACUUUCUGGUUGACGGGUCAGCAUCAAUUUUGACCACUAGAAAAAGGCCUGGGGAAUGUGGCAGCCACGGCUGUGUUAUAGCCCCUAGUCACAUAUGGUGGUUGGGAUUGAGGAACUCAGCACGCCGAAAGGCCGGGUUUCGACCACGUUCGUGCUUAGGAUGCUGGCAUAAUGGCUUUAAGCGACCCGUCUUGAAACACGGACCAAGGAGUCUAACGUGCCUGCGAGU
This 671-nucleotide ribosomal RNA is filed under the name Hymenagaricus splendidissimus. Its description in RNAcentral is "eukaryotic LSU rRNA". It matches the Rfam family "Eukaryotic large subunit ribosomal RNA", at positions 36 to 691 of the family's 3401-position model. The record is from RNAcentral. Lineage: Eukaryota; Fungi; Basidiomycota; Agaricomycetes; Agaricales; Agaricaceae.